AGUAACACGUGGAUAACCUACCUAUAAGACUGUGAUAACUUCGGGAAACCGGAGCUAAUACCGGAUAAUAUUUUGAACCGCAUGGUUCAAAAGUGAAAGACGGUCUUGCUGUCACUUAUAGAUGGAUCCGCGCUGCAUUAGCUAGUUGGUAAGGUAACGGCUUACCAAGUCAACGAUGCAUAGCCGACCUGAGAGGGUGAUCGGCCACACUGGAACUGAGACACGGUCCAG
This 231-nucleotide ribosomal RNA is filed under the name uncultured Staphylococcus sp. RNAcentral describes it as "partial 16S ribosomal RNA". It matches the Rfam family "Bacterial small subunit ribosomal RNA", at positions 109 to 334 of the family's 1533-position model. The record is from RNAcentral. Lineage: Bacteria; Bacillati; Bacillota; Bacilli; Caryophanales; Staphylococcaceae.